Molecule: long non-coding RNA, 676 nt
Organism: Alligator mississippiensis (American alligator)
Lineage: Eukaryota; Metazoa; Chordata; Crocodylia; Alligatoridae
Exons: 3
Source: RefSeq, a predicted model, not a curated record
AGGAGGCUAGAGGCAGUUCCUUGCCAGUUGCUAAAGAGGAAGGAGCUUCCUCACAGAAGGGAUGGUGUAUUUCCUGUUCCAGUAACAAAAGCAGACAUCUCUUGAACUCCAUUUCUACAGCAGUUCAGGGCUCAAGUACAGAACGUGCCUAAUUCCAUAUUCAUUUCUUUUGGUGGAACCUGGUCACAAAGAUACAUCCCUCAACACUUCAGGAAUUUAAACAAAGAUUGUAAGUGCCGAACUUACUUCUGAAAGCAGUGGGCAGCAGUGAGAAUCCAGCUUUUGUGAAUGAGAGUUCCACCACAGACAUGAACAAAUCUUUUGCUUGUUCUUGUUUGAACCUAGAUCAUAAAAAUAUAAAGAAGAUAAUGGAAGCUACAUAAAUAUGAGAUUUCGUUUUUAGAUGUAUGAGGGGCAGAAAAGUUAGUGACAAUGUGAUGAUUGAUGCCCUCUACUGUGCAGUUUGUGUUAGUAGCAGUUGCAUGGAGUGGGAGAAGAAAGUCCAUUUGCUCCUGCAUUCUUGUAAAAUGCAACUAAAAUAGUCACUUUUAAAGACAUAUGGGUCAGCUAACAAAUAUGAUUUGAGAAAUGGGUGUCACAGGUGUGCCUACUCCUUUAAGGGCAGAAACUGCCUAGAGAGGGCCCUACGAGCCAGGUAGAACCCCCACAGGUGCAG